AGAUUGAACGCUGGCGGCAUGCUUUACACAUGCAAGUCGAGCGGCAGCGCGGGGGCAACCCUGGCGGCGAGCGGCGAACGGGUGAGUAAUAGAUAGGAACGUAUCCGGGAGUGGGGGAUAACUAGCCGAAAGGUUAGCUAAUACCGCAUAUUCUCCGAGGAGGAAACGCGGGGGACCAGUAAUGGCCCUACGCGCUCGCGGAGUGGCCCUAUCUCCGAUUUAGCUAGUUGGUGAGGUAAAGCUACGACCAAGCGACGAUCGGUAGCGUGUCGUGAGAGGAUGAAUCACGCCAACACGUGGGACUGGAGACCUACGGCCCAGUACCUCGUACCGGGAGCCAAGGCAGGUAGGGGUAAUUUAGGACGAGGCGGGGACC
This 376-nucleotide ribosomal RNA is filed under the name uncultured soil bacterium. RNAcentral describes it as "bacterial SSU rRNA". It matches the Rfam family "Bacterial small subunit ribosomal RNA", at positions 26 to 381 of the family's 1533-position model. The record is from RNAcentral.